RNAcentral lists this ribosomal RNA (240 nucleotides) under uncultured Staphylococcus sp. RNAcentral's name for it is "partial 16S ribosomal RNA". It matches the Rfam family "Bacterial small subunit ribosomal RNA", at positions 99 to 334 of the family's 1533-position model. The record is from RNAcentral. Lineage: Bacteria; Bacillati; Bacillota; Bacilli; Caryophanales; Staphylococcaceae.
CGGACGGGUGAGUAACACGUGGAUAACCUACCUAUAAGACUGGGAUAACUUCGGGAAACCGGAGCUAAUACCGGAUAAUAUUUUGAACCGCAUGGUUCAAAAGUAAAAGACGGUCUUGCUGUCACUUAUAGAUGGAUCCGCGCUGCAUUAGCUAGUUGGUAAGGUAACGGCUUACCAAGGCAACGAUGCAUAGCCGACCUGAGAGGGUGAUGGCCACACUGGAACUGAGACACGGUCCAG